GUUCGGAAGCAGCCACGACGCCGCCUCCGCUUCCUCCCGGCUGACAUCAGCGUCUCCGUCCACGUCGGAGAAGUAACGCUCCUCCAGAAACUUAACAACUCCGUUGGGUUUGACGGCUGGGACUGAAUUGACGGAGUCGUAGAAGGGGGUUACAGGGAGGCGCUCGUGUCGGCUAGCAAGAGGGUUGGCGGAGUGGAUGUCACGGUCGCAGGUAAUACAGAGAGCGGCUGCAUCGGCCUUGCAAGUGACGUGAGCGGGUGCUUGCUCGCAGACUUCACAGACCCAAACUCGAGCGUGACGCGAGGCGAGCUUGUUGGCUGCGUGGAUUUUG
RNAcentral lists this long non-coding RNA (331 nucleotides) under Gossypium barbadense (sea-island cotton). RNAcentral describes it as "long non-coding RNA (GBAR_LNC015961)". The record is from RNAcentral. Lineage: Eukaryota; Viridiplantae; Streptophyta; Magnoliopsida; Malvales; Malvaceae.